UACGAAGGGGGCUAACGUUGCUCGGAAUCACUGGGCGUAAAGCGCACGUAGGCGGGUCCUUAAGUCAGGGGUGAAAUCCCGGAGCUCAACUCCGGAACUGCCUUUGAUACUGGGGAUCUUGAGUCCGGAAGAGGUGAGUGGAACUCCGAGUGUAGAGGUGAAAUUCGUAGAUAUUCGGAAGAACACCAGUGGCGAAGGCGGCUCACUGGCCCGGUACUGACGCUGAGGUGCGAAAGCGUGGGGAGCAAACAGG
Molecule: ribosomal RNA, 253 nt
Filed under: uncultured bacterium
Lineage: Bacteria
Description: partial 16S ribosomal RNA
Rfam family: Bacterial small subunit ribosomal RNA
Source: RNAcentral